RNAcentral lists this transfer RNA (77 nucleotides) under Nitrosococcus oceani. RNAcentral describes it as "tRNA-Arg". It matches the Rfam family "tRNA". From Rfam's summary of the family: Transfer RNA (tRNA) molecules are approximately 80 nucleotides in length. Their secondary structure includes four short double-helical elements and three loops (D, anti-codon, and T loops). Lineage: Bacteria; Pseudomonadati; Pseudomonadota; Gammaproteobacteria; Chromatiales; Chromatiaceae. RNAcentral also lists the same sequence under 13 other names. The record is from RNAcentral.
GCGCCCGUAGCUCAGCUGGAUAGAGCGUUGGCCUCCGGAGCCAAAGGUCAGAGGUUCGAAUCCUCUCGGGCGCGCCA